This 44-nucleotide small RNA is filed under the name Arabidopsis thaliana (thale cress). RNAcentral's name for it is "ATSL096480". Lineage: Eukaryota; Viridiplantae; Streptophyta; Magnoliopsida; Brassicales; Brassicaceae. The record is from RNAcentral.
GAAAUAAUGAAAACUUAGAAGCGGAAUGAAUGGCAUGAUUUUAU